CAGCUCCAUGGUCGGGGGUACGAUCUGGAGGGCUGGUUCUUUGGGCAUCACUUGUCUCCAUGUUAGAACACACAGGUCACCAUGCUCAAACCUGUAAAGCAGGCUGACAGUAGUGCUAUACCACUGAGGUGCCAUUGUGCAGUUGAUCAAGCUUUCAGGCACAACAUUGAGGCCACAGUGAAGACAACCAUAUAUUGGGAACUUCUUUGGAUCCUGGAACACAAUUUCCUCAAUUAGGGAUAAGAAACCACAGACAAUUCAGGCACUGAAGAUUUCCAGUAUCUGCAGUAAAUCAUUGGGAAUGUUACUCUGGAUUACGCAUACAAGAAUCUGAAGUGGAUCUUGUACCCUGAAGGACUUGACUCAGCAGGUCCAGCUUUGGAGAGGAGUCACACUGAGAAACGCGACGCCGAAGAUGCCUUGGGAUUUCUCUGAGACACCGUCCUAAAACUCAAACAUAAUCAGAGUCGUCUUUAAACUACAGCAUUUUUCAGAAGUGCAUUUUGCUGAGUUUGCUUUGCAGACCCAGCACAUCUUCAGAAUUUUCUGUAUUCACACAGAUACAUACUAUAUACAUGCUGCAACUGAUUUAAAAUCUAUCCUGAAUUCUCCAAAGCCACACAAGCAUGAACAAUGAAGGUGAUUUCAUACAGGUUCUCUGUGGUAUCCUGGUGAUACUUGUGUGCUCAGCAGCGAAAUGAAGCCAAUCAGUAACUUGAGUUCAUCAAUAUUUUAUUGGAAGGAUUUAGAAUACUAUUGUGUUGCACUGAAUUGAGCCAAAUGUGACUUUCAACAGAGCUCAGAGUUAAAAAGUCAAAAAGUCUUAAACAGACUAGGGAAGAAAAACAUAUGCAUUUACAUGGAGCCUUUCAAAACCUUAAGACAUUCCAAAGCAUGUGAGAGUCAACGUAGCAUCAAAAGAUAAUGUUGGUAUCUCUCAUUGCCCAAGUGGAGCACGAGUGGCUUUAAAUAGAUUUGUGUACAGCAGGUCCAGUUACAGCAUCUCUCACUAUUUCCUUACAAGCCAGUUUGGAGGGUUAGCACUUCAUAUGAUGCUAAUAACAAGCUGACAUUCUACUGCAGUUAGCACAACUCCAAAUGUGGAUUGGAUCUGAAGAAGUAUUGCUGAUGAUCAAUAACACUCUCCUUAACAAGGCGGAAGCUACUUUCCUUGUUCAGUCCAUUCAGCGUACACGGUUGUGAUCCUACCCCUGUUGCUGAAAUAACAGAGGACAAGUAACUCUGUACAAGGGAGUGAAAGAGUGGAAAAUGGAGGAGACAGCAGAAGGGCCGGUGGAACAAAUACAGAGCAAUAACCUUUGAAGUGCCAUUACCUAUAAAAUAUACUCAGCUUGGCUCACUGCUCCUUCAUAAUUUACAAGAUGUGUGCAUCAUUCACAACAAUCAAAAAAGGUUAUCUUACUACUUAAUCUUCAAGUAUACUGCAGCCAAAUUUAGGUGAGGCAGAUUAUAAGGAUUGUAGGACUCCUUCUCAGAGGGACAUCAUUGAUUCAGAGUGUAUUUUAUGACAAUCUAAUGGCUUCCUUGCGACUACUACUGACUGAAGCUAUUUAUUUAUAGAUUUCUUUUCCAAAUUGAAUUCCAAAUCUGAAGAUGUUGCAGUUCACUCUCUCUCUGGAUGACUACCUGAGUGAUAAAGCUGCUAAAUGAAUGACCACUUUUGGUGUAUUGAAUACAGGUGAACGUUCGUCAUGACAUUUUGGAAAAUAACCCUUGAAACGAUGAGGGGAAAAUGAAACCUUGAUUUUAUUUGAAAGACUGCACCCUUGACUGGGCAAUUCACCCUCUGUACUGCUUUC
Molecule: long non-coding RNA, 1820 nt
Organism: Hypanus sabinus (Atlantic stingray)
Lineage: Eukaryota; Metazoa; Chordata; Chondrichthyes; Myliobatiformes; Dasyatidae
Exons: 4
Source: RefSeq, a predicted model, not a curated record